UGGGGCGUAGCCAAGCGGUAAGGCAGCGGGCUUUGGACCCGCCAUUUCGUUGGUUCGAAUCCAGCCGCCCCAG
Molecule: transfer RNA, 73 nt
Filed under: Desulfotomaculum copahuensis
Lineage: Bacteria; Bacillati; Bacillota; Clostridia; Eubacteriales; Desulfotomaculaceae
Rfam family: tRNA
About the family: Transfer RNA (tRNA) molecules are approximately 80 nucleotides in length. Their secondary structure includes four short double-helical elements and three loops (D, anti-codon, and T loops). Further hydrogen bonds mediate the characteristic L-shaped molecular structure. tRNAs have two regions of fundamental functional importance: the anti-codon, which is responsible for specific mRNA codon recognition, and the 3' end, to which the tRNAs corresponding amino acid is attached (by aminoacyl-tRNA synthetases). tRNAs cope with the degeneracy of the genetic code in two manners: having more than one tRNA (with a specific anti-codon) for a particular amino acid; and 'wobble' base-pairing, i.e. permitting non-standard base-pairing at the 3rd anti-codon position.
Source: Rfam by way of RNAcentral